CACAAAAAAAAAAAAAUUGUGAAAAGAGAGCAGACGCGUCUAAAAUUUUGGAAUUAAGUGAUAUCCUAUUAAUCUAAAUAAUAAUGAGUAAUGGCGGUAGUGCUGGGGCGCUGGGCGGCACACGUCCGCCACCACGCAUCGAUGGCAUGGUUUCGCUGAAGGUCGACAAUCUUACAUAUCGCACUACUCCCGAGGACUUGCGUCGCGUCUUUGAGCGUUGUGGAGAAGUGGGUGAUAUUUACAUACCGCGGGACCGCUACACACGUGAGAGCCGUGGCUUUGCUUUCGUCCGCUUCUACGACAAACGUGAUGCUGAAGACGCACUGGAGGCCAUGGAUGGUCGCAUGUUAGAUGGCAGGGAGCUCCGAGUCCAGAUGGCUCGUUAUGGCCGUCCCUCGUCGCCCACUCGCAGCAACGGUCGUCGUGGUGGUGGAUCUGGUGGUGGUGGUGGUGGUGGCGGAGGAGGUGCAGGCGGUGGAGGUGGAGGCGGUCGUCGUCGCUCGCGUUCCCGUUCACCUAGGCGCCGCCCUUCGCGUAGUCCACGUCGUCGCUCCUACUCGCCACGCUCGCGCUCUCAGUCGGCUGGCAGCCAUUCGCCGGAGCGCCGCACCAAGUUCUCGCGCAGUCCAGUGCGCGGUGAGAGUCGCAACGGUAUCGGGGCAUCCGCCUUGGCUGUGGGAGCCUCCCGUAGUCGCAGUCGCUCUUAAUAUUCACGUUCCAAUUGGUGCGAGUCUUGCAGUUUUGCACUCGCCUGACAAGACAGAUCCCGAUCAUGGAUCUUGCUCCACAUCCUGUCAUGCUGUACCAGAACAGCAGGCAAAUUGGUGUGUGGCAGUGUUGCGGUUGAGAAUAAUGUUAUGGUUAUUGCGAGGGAGGAGGAGAGCAGAUCAGAGAUCAGUGAGAUCGGAGAUCGGAUCCGAUCAGCAGAGGCAUCAGAGCAUCUUCUUCUUCCCCCGUCCAGCGCUAGCAGAGAGACAACACGACACGACACGAGAGCGGACAUCGCGUAGCUGUUGCUGUUGCUGUUACUGCUGCCGUUGCCGCGUUGGCGUUUCCUGUCAGCCGCUGUCGCCGCCACCUCCACCGCUGCUACUGCUACUGCUGCUGCUGGUGCUGCUGUUGCUGUUGCUGCUGCCGUGCUGCACUCGAUCAGAGUGGGAGAAAAAAGAAAAGGGAUAGACUAUAUAGACUGUUUCCUUGGGCUGUUUGCUGUUGGCCGUUUCCCGGUUCCGGUUUCCUGUUACUUCACUUCUCUCGUCCCGUCGUUUGUUGCUGUUUGCCGGUUGCUGGUUGCCGGUUGCUGAUUGGCGUUGUUGGUGUUUUCCUGUCUUGCCGCUUGGCGUUUGGUGGUCGUCCAUUUUAAGUUUAGGCGAAUAAACAGAUUUCCAGCAGAAGCUACGAUGGAGUCGCCGUUGGACUCUGCAAAUGGGAAUGAAUCUCUUGCAGGCCAACCUGCUGUGGCCUGGAUUAGUGCCCCCUAUCAUCUGUUCAGUGUGGUAAGUGCCAAUAAAACGAAGACUAACAUUUAAAAUCAUGUUGCAGCUAAAACAAAUAUUCAAUAAAGUCCAAUUAAUCUACAACUAUUUUUUUUUUCUUGUGGAUUGGAUAGAGGCUUCAUCGAAACUAAUUUUCAGGCAGUAGGCGAGUUUGACCACAUUUGACACUUACGUCAAGCAUUUAUUUGACUGCAUUUCCACAUUUAAGCCAUUCAAAAUUCGUAGUUCAAUAGUGCAAGUCCUCUUUAAUUUGGCAUUAAUCUAGGGACAGAUUCGUGACUAAAUUCCCGUUUAGAAUCCUCGCAGUAAGGACGAACCUACAAAGCCAAUAAAGCCCACAAAGAAU
Molecule: RNA transcript, 1842 nt
Organism: Drosophila obscura
Lineage: Eukaryota; Metazoa; Arthropoda; Insecta; Diptera; Drosophilidae
Gene: SC35
Gene name: serine/arginine-rich splicing factor 2
Exons: 5
Source: RefSeq, a predicted model, not a curated record